AAACGAUUGAAGUCAGUCGUGUUUAUUGGAUUCAGCCGGUCUUCGGUGUACUUCCUUUAAACGGGUCAACAUCAGUUUUGUCCGGUGGAUAAAGGCAGUAGGAAUGUGGCUCCCUCGGGAGUGUUAUAGCCUAUUGUCACAUACACUGGAGGAGACUGAGGACUGCAGCUCGCCUUUUGGCCGGGGUUCGCCCACGUUCGAGCUUAGGAUGUUGACAUAAUGGCUUUAAACGA
This 233-nucleotide ribosomal RNA is filed under the name Apiotrichum laibachii. RNAcentral's name for it is "partial large subunit ribosomal RNA". Lineage: Eukaryota; Fungi; Basidiomycota; Tremellomycetes; Trichosporonales; Trichosporonaceae. The record is from RNAcentral.